CUACGGGAGGCAGCAAUUAGGAAUCUUGCACAAUGGACGAAAGUCUGAUGCAGCGACGCCGCGUGAAGGAUGAAGGCCUUCGGGUUGUAAACUUCUUUUAAGGGGGAAGAAACAAAUGACGGUACCCCUUGAAUAAGCCCCGGCUAACUACGUGCCAGCAGCCGCGGUAAUACGUAGGGGGCGAGCGUUGUCCGAAUUUACUGGGCGUAAAGCGCGCGUAGGCGGACUUUUAAGUCGGUGGUGAAAUCUCAGGGCUCAACCCUGAAACUGCCGCCGAAACUGGGAGUCUUGAGGUAUGGAGAGGGAAGUGGAAUUCCUGGUGUAGCGGUGAAAUGCGUAGAUAUCAGGAGGAACACCCGUGGCGAAGGCGGCUUCCUGGCCAUAUCCUGACGCUGAGGUGCGAAAGCUAGGGGAGCGAACGGGAUUAGAUACCCCUGUAGUCC
RNAcentral lists this ribosomal RNA (443 nucleotides) under uncultured bacterium. Its description in RNAcentral is "bacterial SSU rRNA". It matches the Rfam family "Bacterial small subunit ribosomal RNA", at positions 339 to 796 of the family's 1533-position model. The record is from RNAcentral.